ACAGAGACAGAGACAGAGAAAUAUGGGCACCAUACCUUGGUACAGUGGAAGGAGGGCUGAUUCAGGAGUCAGAGAACCUGGGGUCGAGGCCUCCCCCUGCCCCUUAACUAUGUGACCAUGAGUGAAUCACUUACCCCCCUGUGCCUCAGUUUCUUCAUUUGUAAAAUUAGUGGGGGGAGGGGUGGAACUAGAUGGACUCUAAGGUUCCUUCUAGCUCUCCAUCUUAGACUUGGUGAUGCUCUGCUAUGAAGGUGUGUAGACAGGGCCUCAUCCUUCUUUAUUUCUCUCUCAUUCUUUCCCUGCUUCCCUAGGAUCUGUGUAAGGUAGAGUAUUGGAUUUCAUGCCUCCCUGUCUCCCAUUCCCCUGCUCUCCGCCCCCCGCAGGCCUGGGCCUCUUUGGACUGGUCCUGAGUCCUCUAGAUGCCUGCCUGCCCCCUUAGAUUCCUGACCCAUGCCUUCACUUGCCCCCUUUCCUCCUUCCCUCUUCCCUGGACUCUAGUCCUAUUUAUGUGACCCCUGACAGUUUCUCUGCCCUCUGCAGCCUUGUCAUCCUGGUCGCUCUGAAUGCUCUCCUUUUCUACCGGCUCUGGUCCUUGGAGAGGACAGCCCACACCUUUGAGGCCUGGCACAGCCUUGCUCUGGGCAAAGACCCCAACUCUCCCCAUAGGAAGUUUCCUCAGACGGCAGCUGAGUGGGCAGAAAUCUUGGCCCUCCAGAAGCAGUUCCACAGUGUGGAAGUGCACAAAUGGCGGCAGAUUCUCCGGGCUUCUGUCGAGCUGCUGGAUGAGAUGAAGUUCUCCCUGGAGAAACUCCACCAGGGCAUCGAGAUGUCAGAACCCCCCUUUGACCCUGAGCCCCUUGGAGAGAACGCUUUCUCUUGAGACUCCCUCCUUCUCCCUCUCAAUCAGCCCCCAGUGAAUGGACAGAUGGACAGCCUCAGUGGACACUGCUGGACCAGUGCUGGACCCUUUGGAUGCCUGCUCCCCCACCUGUAGCCCCCUGCUGUGCCUCCUUUUCCCCACCAGCCCUUUAUCUCCAAUAUCCACAAGAAACUUUCCUCCCCAUAAACAGAACAGUCCCCAACUCCCCCUGUCCCCCCACCCCCAUCCCUGCACCCCCCAGGUCAGGGGAGAAUGGUCGGACACUUCGACUGCAGAGCUGUGAUGCACUUUAGAACCUGGGGAGGGUACACUGGGGGAGUGGGGGGGAAGAGAACAAUAUUCUUGCCCCUCCCCUCUAGCCUCCAACAACUGUUUGCCUCCCCCCUCUCCCAGAUGAUACUUGAGAUGAUCCUGGAGCUGGUUGCAAGGGCCUUCUCUGCAGCUCCUUCCCCCCCUCUUUCCCCCUCUGGGUAAUUUAUUUGGAAAGGGUCAAGCUGCCCCCUGGGAGGGGGACAGACCUAGGGUGGGGAAUCCUAUGGACAGGGGAAGGCUGACUGUUUAGUGUUCCCCCAGAGAUGGGGUCUAAUGUAUUAUAUUUAUUUGGGGCAAACGGAGCCCCAAUAAAGGGUCGGAAAUGUU
Molecule: long non-coding RNA, 1519 nt
Organism: Gracilinanus agilis (Agile Gracile Mouse Opossum)
Lineage: Eukaryota; Metazoa; Chordata; Mammalia; Didelphimorphia; Didelphidae
Exons: 3
Source: RefSeq, a predicted model, not a curated record